GGGCUAGGUGGCACCUGCUUGUUGCCCUAGCAACUUGGGAGGCUGAGGCAGGAAAAUUGCUUGAGCUCAAGAGUUCUGGGCUUUAGUAAGCUAUGCCAAUCAGAUAUCUGCACUAAGUAUAUCUGAUUAUAUUUAAUAUACAGGGACCUCCAGGGAACCAGGUUGCCUAAGGAGUGGUGAACUGGCCUAGGUCAGAAAGAGAGCAGGUUAAAACUUCUGUGCUGAUCAGUAGUGGGAUCACAAUCAUGAAUAGCCACUGCACUUCAGCCUGGGCAAUGUAGAAAGACACUGUCUCU
This 296-nucleotide signal recognition particle RNA is filed under the name Piliocolobus tephrosceles (Ugandan red Colobus). RNAcentral describes it as "Metazoan signal recognition particle RNA (ENSPTEG00000026811.1)". It matches the Rfam family "Metazoan signal recognition particle RNA". From Rfam's summary of the family: The signal recognition particle (SRP) is a universally conserved ribonucleoprotein. It is involved in the co-translational targeting of proteins to membranes. Lineage: Eukaryota; Metazoa; Chordata; Mammalia; Primates; Cercopithecidae. The record is from RNAcentral.